GCAGCAGUGGGGAAUAUUGCACAAUGGGCGCAAGCCUGAUGCAGCCAUGCCGCGUGUAGAAGAAGGCCUUCGGGUUGUAAAGUACUUUCAGCGGGGAGGAAAGGCGUUGAGGUUAAUAACCCUUACACAAUUGACGUUACCCGCAGAAAAGCACCCGGCAAUCGCGCGC
Molecule: ribosomal RNA, 169 nt
Filed under: Enterobacter sp. MC332
Lineage: Bacteria; Pseudomonadati; Pseudomonadota; Gammaproteobacteria; Enterobacterales; Enterobacteriaceae
Also listed under: 4 other names
Description: partial 16S ribosomal RNA
Rfam family: Bacterial small subunit ribosomal RNA
Source: RNAcentral